This 30-nucleotide non-coding RNA is filed under the name Rattus norvegicus (Norway rat). The record is from RNAcentral. Lineage: Eukaryota; Metazoa; Chordata; Mammalia; Rodentia; Muridae.
UCCUUUCGCCCAGAUCUAUGCUCUGUAGGA